RNAcentral lists this ribosomal RNA (502 nucleotides) under Paenibacillus silvestris. RNAcentral describes it as "Bacterial large subunit ribosomal RNA". It matches the Rfam family "Bacterial large subunit ribosomal RNA", at positions 1084 to 1463 of the family's 2925-position model. Lineage: Bacteria; Bacillati; Bacillota; Bacilli; Caryophanales; Paenibacillaceae. The record is from Rfam by way of RNAcentral.
CACAGACAACCAGGAUGUUGGCUUAGAAGCAGCCACCAUUGAAAGAGUGCGUAAUAGCUCACUGGUCGAGUGACUCUGCGCCGAAAAUGUAACGGGGCUAAACACGCCACCGAAGCUAUGGCUUGCAUCGCCUUCACUGCGUCUUUGAAUCUCGUGGUUAGCCACGGGACAUUAGCCAGAAUCAACCUUAUUGGUUGUUCAGGAUUCUGGCCAAAUGAUCCCAGCUAAACACGCUGCUUCAAAGCUGGAGUGAAGGUGGUGCAUGGGUAGGGGAGCGUUGUAUGUACGUUGAAUUCUGACCGUAAGGACAGGUGGAGCGCAUACAAGUGAGAAUGCCGGUAUAAGUAACGAAAAGAUCAGUGAGAAUCUGAUCCGCCGAAAACCUAAGGGUUCCUGAGGAAGGCUCGUCCGCUCAGGGUAAGUCGGGACCUAAGGCGAGGCCGAAAGGCGUAGUCGAUGGACAACAGGUGGAAAUUCCUGUACCACCGUAGCCGUUAUGAGC